This 223-nucleotide long non-coding RNA is filed under the name Elaeis guineensis (African oil palm). RNAcentral's name for it is "long non-coding RNA (EGUI_LNC021760)". The record is from RNAcentral. Lineage: Eukaryota; Viridiplantae; Streptophyta; Magnoliopsida; Arecales; Arecaceae.
UAGGUGGGGGGUCCUCGGGCAUCUUCUUUUAACCCCUUACGACCUACAAUAUUUUAAUGCUUCUUUAUAAAAUUUUGCACGGGUGGGGCAUUACCUAGCCAGUUUCGAUGGUUCCAUCCUGAAGCUUCAGCAUUGGAGCCUAUAGCGGCAAGAGGGGAAAUAGACUUGCUGAGAUAUCAGUUGGAGCAGAUAGAGAAAAAUAAUGGCAAGUUGAUAAAAGAGC